CACAAAAAAUCCAAAUUUUAUAUUAGAGUUAUUUUUACAACAGCAACAACAACAACCCAAUAUAAUCCCACUUAGUGGGGUCUGGGGAGGAUAGUAUAUACGCAGACCUUACCCCUACCCUAGGGUAGAGAGAUUAGAGUUAUUUUUCUAAUCUCGAUAAUACUGAUAACAAAGUAUAAAAAAAGAUACAAAUAUCCCAAAUAUAUUAACAUUAGUGCUAGGAAUCUAUCCAUAUCAUCUACUAGAACCUACUGGCUACGGUCUAUGCAAUUGCAACCUAUCACGUGCUGAUCUCUCUCUCUCCGUCGAAAUUCCGUCCAAAAACUGUACUCACUUAUUACUACCGAUAUCUACUAGUGAGGGUACGCCGGGCUAUGCCCGGGCCCAACGACUAUUUAGAGCUAUAUAGGUACUUAAAUCUAUGCUGGGGCAUAAAAAAACAUGUUAUGGAAUAUGUUUUUGUAUACUUGAAGGUUUUGUUAGGAUGCUUUAUAAAGCAAAGUACUACAGGCUAAAGGGAGAUUGUAUUUAACAGUUAUAACUACAUACAAAAAUGUGAUUUUAACAGUAUUUAGCAACAUGCUCAUUGUCUUCACCUAUCCAUCCAGCACUCUUUUUUCCUUCUUGAAUUUCUCCUCCAACUUCAUGAGCAUACGCUUCUUGCAGUGCACCAAAAAUGAUUUCUCUGCAGAAGGAGAAAGAGAGAAAAAGCAUGGUUAGGAGAUCGAGCAUAUUGCUACCCCCUGAUGAGAUUACCAUAACCCACUUAAAAUACUUAAAUUUUAAUUUACUUUUGUUUCGUAUUAUCCAACUGUUGCAGGCACUGAAGUGGCCUCUAGUAGUUUGUCAGUCAGCUGAGCGUCUUCUACUCUGCUAUGAAGAUGAAUUAAGCGUGUUAAUGAUUCACAUAAGAGUGUAUAAUCUGCUCAAAUAAACUCAAUGAUAUCCAACACCCACAAAAACUACAUGCAACUUAGAGAGCCGUGGAUAAACUUGUGAGAUGUAUCUGUAAGAUUAUCUUAGAAACACAAAAAUAAUAUAUUAAUGCUCUUUUGAACUCACAUCCUCAUUUAUAUAUACGACUACCAUAUGGUAGACUAUGACUGCAUUAAUAGCAGGAAAUAUAAGUCAUUUUUCGAGGCCAAUAAACCAAAAGAGGGAGUUAGCCAUAUAUAAUAUAGACCAUCCAUUUCUUGUCUUUGAACUCUGCGUAAGAGCUCCACUUGUAGGAUUCCACCAAUGGAAAGAACAGGUUUUGCCAGCCUAAACUUCUGCAAGCUGUUCUCCUGUACCCAUGAGAAGCUAGCUUAGCUGUUCCAAAGUCUGAGACACAUAAAAGAAGAAAUCUUAACUAAAACUGAGCUACAGUUUGAAGUAGAUUUUAAAUUGCUUGCUUUUGUCAACAAAAGAGAAGAUUAGUUCAUGAAUGAGCACCUAACAGCUGUGUUAAAAUGAGUGAUAUACUUCCACCAAGUACAUGUUCUGACAUAAGUAAGACCAAGAAUAGGCUUAGUUAGUGGAAACCAUUAUUAUUACUUGGGAAGUAGACGUUGUUACUUAUUAUCCAAGAAAAGAUGUCAGUGUAAAGUAUCCAUUUGAUUGCUUCACGGAUGAGAACUAUCCAGAACAAAAGAAACUGAAAUAUUGUUUGGAUAGCAAGAUGUAACAACCAAUUAAUGUGUAGUAGGUACAUAGAAGAAGAAAAAAACUGAUGAGACAAUCUCAAGAACAAAAAAGUAACGCUUAAAUACACAAAAAGAACAUAGACUUAAAGGAUAGAAAUACAAAAGAGAGCAAACUGAUUUAAUAUACAACUCUCUUUGUUAAUUCAUUAGUCUACAAGCAUAUUCUGAGAACAAAGAGGAUAACAAGACAAAUAACGAAUAUAAUUGAGAGGAGAAACAAAGUCAAGUGAAAAGUAAAAGCAAAGCAGCAGAAACCAAUUAAUUCUUAAGUUUACUUGUUCAUUUUCAUAUGAUUUUAUCAAUGCGGUUUGACUUAAGAUACUAACAAUAUUUGUAAUUGAAAGUAUGUACUAAUAUUUAGGGGAAAAGAAAGUUGAGAAGUAGAUACGAUGUUCUGUAUGAACAUAAAGGGGUCGCAGUUCACUACAUCGACCACUUCAGACCAUCCAUAUACCGGCUUCUUGUUUACUCUUUUCCUUCAUUCUCACAAUUAUAGUAACAAAGGUCUCAACAGGUGCAUUGCACUUUUGCUCCGUUUUCCUUUAUUGUGUUUCCUUUAUUGUAUACUUUUAAAUUGUCACAACUAUAACAUCAUGUCUUCUGAAAUUCCUUUCUUUAAAUUUUUUUCAGGAACAAGUUGAAGAAAAAAUAAGAAGAUUCAAGAGAGGGCAAAACUUUGGAUGAUUUAAGGAAAGUGAGACUUAUCAAGGAUUUGUACCAAUUAAACUUGUGGGCAAACUUGAAGAAGCAAAACAAAUUACAGAGAGAUGAAAAUAGAAUGCCAUCAAAAUUACCCAAAAUCAAAAUUACCAGAUUAUUCUUCACCCAAGCGAACCAAGAAAUUAAAUCUGAAGACAGUAAUAAAAAUCAAGUAGUAAAUUUGAUUCAUUGUAAAAUUUUGCCCUUAUUCUCGAGGAAAUACACAGAAGUUGAAGUGAAGGAAAAGAAAAUCCAGCAAAACAUAACUAACCUGAUAAAAGUUUCAGAGCCGCAAGAGGAAAGACCAGAAGAGACAAAGAUAACUUGAAGAGGAACUGAGAAAGGUAUGAAAAUCCGAAGAAACAGCAGUAUGAACCGAAAUCGAAGGUAACACGUGUGUAGAAAGCUAAAAUAUUUGAAAUUCCCAAACUACCCCUACGACCCCAAGCUCCUCUCGCUAGCUGUUUCUAUAAUAGUACUAGUGAGGGUAUGCCCGGGCUAUGCCCGGGCCGAACGACUAUUUAGUAUUUUUGUUAAUAAAGCUAUAUAGGUACUUAAAUCUAUCAUGGACCAUCGAAAAGAAACAUGUUAUGGAAAAGGUUUUUGUAUACCUAAAGGUUUUGUAAGUACUAUAGGCUAAAGAGAGAUUGUAUUUAACUGUCAUAACUACAUACAUAAAUGUGAUUCUAACAGUAUUUAGCAACAUGCGCACUGUCUUCACCUAUCCAUCCAGCUUUUCAUGUUGGUACUGUUGCACGCACUAAAAUGGCCUCUAGUAAUUUGUCAGUCAGCUGAGCGUCUUCUACUCUGCUAUGAAGAUGAAUUAAGCGUGUUAAUGAUUCACAUAAGAGUGUACAAUCUGCUCAAAUAAACUCAGGGAUAUCUAACACCCACAAAAACUAUGUGCAAUAAUUAUUAACAAUUAAGAGAGCUGUGAAUAAACUUGUGAGAUGCAUUCAUCUGUAAGAUUAUCUUAGAAACAAAAAAAUCAUAUAUUAAUGCCCUUUUGAACUCACAUCCUCAUUUAUAUAUACGACUACCAUAUGGUAGAUUAUGACUGCAAUAAUAGCAGGAAAUAGAAGUCAUUUUUUGAGGCCAAUAAACCAAAAAAAGGGAGUUAAUCAUAUAUAAUAUAGACCAUCCAUUUCCACUUCGAAUAGGUUUUGACAGCCUAAACUUCUACAAGCUGUUCUCCUAGACAUAAAGCUUNNNNNNNNNNNNNNNNNNNNNNNNNNNNNNNNNNNNNNNNNNNNNNNNNNNNNNNNNNNNNNNNNNNNNNNNNNNNNNNNNNNNNNNNNNNNNNNNNNNNNNNNNNNNNNNNNNNNNNNNNNNNNNNNNNNNNNNNNNNNNNNNNNNNNNNNNNNNNNNNNNNNNNNNNNNNNNNNNNNNNNNNNNNNNNNNNNNNNNNNNNNNNNNNNNNNNNNNNNNNNNNNNNNNNNNNNNNNNNNNNNNNNNNNNNNNNNNNNNNNNNNNNNNNNNNNNNNNNNNNNNNNNNNNNNNNNNNNNNNNNNNNNNNNNNNNNNNNNNNNNNNNNNNNNNNNNNNNNNNNNNNNNNNNNNNNNNNNNNNNNNNNNNNNNNNNNNNNNNNNNNNNNNNNNNNNNNNNNNNNNNNNNNNNNNNNNNNNNNNNNNNNNNNNNNNNNNNNNNNNNNNNNNNNNNNNNNNNNNNNNNNNNNNNNNNNNNNNNNNNNNNNNNNNNNNNNNNNNNNNNNNNNNNNNNNNNNNNNNNNNNNNNNNNNNNNNNNNNNNNNNNNNNNNNAGGAACCCCUCUUCAAUAUUUCAUGUGUGCAAAAAGUUUGUCAAAUAGUUUUGGGAAGAUAAACUUGUGAUAGACUUGACCUGUUCGCAAAGGAAAAAGAUAUACUUAUUAGGCCUAUAUGGUAAUAACUUAAAACAAAAUAGAUCUCUGAGUAGUAAAGAUGGAAUCACUUGGCCGGAUUAAAUAAACAAAUUUUGAAUAAUGACAUUUCAAGUACGUUAUCAUGCAUGUAUUUAGCACAUAAUGGAAUUAGAUGACAGUUACUUGUAUUCAAUUGUGGACCUUGUAAUGAAACAACUAUAUUUUAGUGUUGGAUUCUAUCAGAGAUGGAGGCAUAUCCUUUACACAUCAGUAGAAGAAAAAGCUAGUGAAAUAAAGUAAAUAAAAAGUGUAAGCAUAUGUGCCAAUUUUCAAUGAGCAUAUCACAUUGUAAAUCUCUCUAGAUAGCGGAAAAACACUUACCUUGUCUUUGCUCUGAUCGUUUCUUGUCAGGCUGUGUCUUCUUGAAGAGUUAUUUGUUUUCUCUUGGUUUCUUCUCGAGCUGUAUCAUUUCUUAUUCUCCUUUCUUGGUUUGAAAUCUGUGUUCGUGAUCCCUUCGUACAACUGUUAUGUCAUCACUAAGUGUUUCUACACUACAGUAAUAAUAUUGGAGUCAGAAGUAUAUUUGUCAGUAGUAUAUUCUCAGUUAAAUUAAACUGUAAGAACAUUUAGUGGUGAUUAAACUUCGAAACCUGGGUACUCCAAACAUCUAUAGAGUGAACAAGAAACAUUAAAAGAAAUUUUUUGCAAUAUUUCAUUAUAAAAGAGCCAUCAACUUACUUAUUCCCUUAAUGAUCAUAUUAAUAAUACAACUUUAUUUGCUCAUCUACAUAAAAAUGAUUAAUUUAACAAAAAAAUAUUAUUUUUGGGGUUAAAUUUUUUUUUAAAGAUGAAUAUACUACUUAUUUUCCUUUGUAAAAUAGUAAAUGUAGUACUCUAUAGGGAGAAUAAUAUAUAUAAAUCUAUUUUUUACUAUAUCAUUAAUGUUACCUUGUUUGUUCGGGUGUUUUUGUUUUAUCAAAUACCUACCAUAUUCAUGUCUGUAUUCCCUCAUCUAAUAUGCACAUGCAAGUAGUCACAAACUUCUGGAUAGGCAAAAUUAAUUGAUGUAAAGUUCUUUCCUUUUCGGGUGGAAUAUAGGUUUACAUUUUGCCCCAACAACUACAGCUGAAAUCUUUCGACUUAACAGAAUGUGGUAUUUUUGAGUAGCCAACAACACAUUUUUUAGCUUUGGCCUUUUCUUUUACACAAAUAAAAUAAAUGAAGUAAAAGUACCAAAAUUUUAUGUAAUUUCUGUCCAAAAUUCUAAAAGCAGUUGAGUUAGCAAACAGUAGGAGAAUAGAGCUUAAUCGUUAUACCAGGCAAAAUAAAAAACACAAAGUCCAACAAAUUAAAGGAGGAAAAUAUGAAUAUCCAUUCAAUCAUGUAAAAUGAAAAUUCUUUCAAAAGUUGGCUUAUCAUAUUCAUUUCACAUUCUAAUAGUAACAUAUCAUCUUCUUAUUUUCUCACAUUUGCAACAAAAAAAACUGAUCGAUAACUCAAUAUUGCUUGAUGACCUAUUCAAAGAUAACAUCAAUAGCAUUUAUCAAACAAUGUAAUAGCUCAUUUGCUAAAAAAAUAUAGGUUAAUUUUAUACUACCUGCAAAUGCAAUUUCAUACCUUUUCCACGUGACAGAAAAGCUCCAAUGAUUAGACUUUAGGAUAAUAAGAAAGUGUGUCAAGUCAGUUAUAAUAAAUCUUAAAAUAUUUUAAUCAAAGAACGGCAAAAUUUGUUGAAAUGUCGGAGAAGCAAACCUGGAAAGUUUUUCUUGACUGGCACACCAACUGCAAGGAAAAAUCAUGGAGAAGUUUAGUGCUAAUUUUUCAUAGAUCCACCAGAGAGGAGACUUAAAGAGUCAAAACAGAUGUUGGCGAAAUUGAGAAGUAGCAAGUAGCGAAAGAAAUGAAACAUACAGAUUUGUAGACAUAUCAGGCUUGCGUUUGCUUUCGGAAUGCAUUUGUUUUGCUCUCUUUUUCUUUUUGGCUUUUCCAAAUAUUAGAUUUAUCAUCAUGUACAUAUUAUAUUUCUCUAAAGAGAAAGCAAAAAAUUUUAGAACACCACCUAAAAACAUCAUGCUACAGUAAUGUAAUAUGCUUUACCUAUAUGCAACAUUCCAAUAAAAAUAUAUUAGCCCUCCAUCUUGCACCAGGAACAAUCGUAGAAUGAUUAAUUAAUUGUCACCAGUUAUAAUUUUCAAUGACCGCAGAAUGUCCUAGCAAGGUUAGUAAUUCAUCGUACAACCAUUCAUCAGUCUUGUUUAACACUGUUUUAUUUUAGGUAAACACUAAAGAAUGAAUAAGGUUAUAUAACUGGAAGAACAAAGUAAAAGAAAAACAGAAGCCACUCCAAAUGUAGAUGUAAAACACCAUGAAAGUAAGAUAUUAGAUAUGUUGGUAUUUCCAUUAAAAUCUUCUAUAGAUAUAUGAUGCAAUUUUGUAAUUGCAACUUUGAAACUUCAAAGUUUUUAUAGAUAAUUCAAUUUGUAGUAAUUAACCGCAAAGCUUACUUAGAAGCGGUACCAAUGGAGAACGUAAAAGUCAAAAAAGCUAGGAAGCAUGGAAAACAAACCUAAAUGGGGAUCUCAGGCAACAACAAUCCUAGAAGAAAAAGGAGAGAAUUAGCGAAGCAGAUAGAGAAAUAAAAAAUUACAUAAAUGAAUAAUUCAAUAACUCUUCACCAAAAAAGCAAUCAUAUUCUAUUAGAUAGAGAUCAAGAUGAAAACAAAUGGAAGAUGAAAAUACUUGUUGGUUAACAUUUAGAGAUGUAAACGAAGUAUAAUCCACUGAGGAAUUAUCCAGUCCAGAACAAAAGACUUAGAGAAUCAUCUUGUAGUAAGAAACAUCACAUGAUUGCCUUCGUAAACUAUGUUACAGGUAGAAUGAUCAUCAUCGCUAGUCGGGGUGGGAGGUCGAAUCAACAAUUUCACACAGUUCGAACUCUUUGCUCUAGAUAAGGCAACAUAAAGUUGGCCGUGGGAAAAUACAGGUUCACACAAAUAAAUUCCCACAAAAUACAAUGUUUGACCCUGCGCUUUAUUUAUAGUCAUAGCAAAGCACAAUCUUACUGGAAAUUGUGUUCUCUUGAAUUGAACAGGUAAUUUUUCAUUAUUUGAUGAUAAUAAUGGUAUUCUUGGAAUAAAUACAUGCGUAUUCUUGAAAUCACCUGCUGCAAUCUUAGCACUUAGAACAUGCGUUUUAAAUUCACAACAGUUUAAUCGCGUGCCAUUACAUAAACCUUCAUAUGGAUUUAAGUUUCGUAAUAACAUAAUUGGACAAUUCUUUUUCAAAGAUAAUAUAUACGGAGGCAAACCUGUAGGGUUUAAAGUAUGCAAUAGAUCUUCAAAUUGUGAUUGAUUGUCAGAUUCAAUGGUCUCAUCAAUACCAACAAAUGUUCUUGCUUUUCCUGAAAAUUGAGUAAUAAGCAUAUCGUUGAUUUCAUCGACAAAAUUAUUUUUUGUUGUCAAAUUACACGGGAGUCUGUACAAGAAGCGUCAUAACCAGAUGAAUUCAAAUAUGGAUAUGUUAUUGUGAAUAGUUUAUCUAAAGAUUCUCUUUCACUUGUGAAAGGCACAAUUAAAGAAUUUGGUACUUCAAUGUUGUUUGUUGCGUUAAGACGUUCUUGUCCAUUCCCAAUUCUUAGAAAAUAAUCACAAAAUGCCGGAUCUGUUUUUGCUCUCAUAUUCUCACAUAAUUGUAUUUUUUCUAGCUUGGCCCAAAUGCUGCAAUAUAACAAACUUUGAUUAAUAAAAUCUUCCUUUUUUCCAUUUCUCACAACGGGAAGAAUUUGUCUAAAAUCACCCCCAAAAACAACUACUUUCCCACCGAAUAAAAUGUGUAUCCAUAGGAUCUUUUAGUAGCAAAUCAAAAACUUCUAGCAUUCUUUUAUUUGCCAUAGAUGCCUCAUCCCAUACAAUCACUUUUGCAUCGCGAAUUAAACUCGCGAGUGCGCUUUGUUUACUAAUAUUGCAGCUGACAUUCUCGUUAAUAUCAAUAGGAAUUUUAAAGCGUGAAUGUGCAGUACGCCCACCAGGGAGAAUAGAAGUAGCAACACCAGAAGUCGCAGUUGCCAAAGCGAUAUAUCCCAUAGACCAUACAGUUGCUAGUAAAGCACGGUAUAAGAAAAUUUUCCCAGUUCCUCCUGGACCGUCAAUGAAAAAUGCGCCUGCUUUGUUAGAAAAUACUCUAUUGAUAAUUACAUCAUAUGCUGUCAGUUGAUUUUUAUUUAGUCUCUCAUGCAAUUGUACCUCGUCUUCACUUACAGUAAUAGUUCUUUCAAAGUGAAUCUCUUUUGCUUCUUUCGCUGCUGCGGAAGUCCUAAUAGUUUGUGGAAUGAGUUGAUAUUCAUUUACAUUGUGACCCAUAGAAUGCAAAAUAUCAUUGAUAUGGUUCAGAACUUGAUAUCGGAUUUCUUUAGUUUCAAUAGUCUAUAACACUUUAUAAUCUUCAGACAUAGACUCUUCAAACUGCUCCCAUAGUUCUCUUGGAUUGGUAGGGUUGCAGUGUACCAAUAAUGUAGCAAACAAACGCCUUAAACUAUAUGGCAUUUGAUAACUUGUUGCUUCAGACAUGCAUUCCGUUAAACUGUUAUCACACUGUAAUAAUCCUCUUUUUUCCACAGAUUCUCUAAAUGAACUACAAGGUUCUCCAUUUACCAUAUGAAGAUUCUCGUACGAUGUCGGCCCACGCACAUGCAUCAAUAAUAAUCUAAGAUAAUAUCGUUUUCCUUCUGUUGGAUGACAUGUUACAACGCGACCAACAGUACAACGACGCUGUCGAAGUGCCCAAAUUUUGUCGCUGGAGGACCACACAAAGUAUUUAGGAAAUUCUCUGUACAAUAAGUUCAGCUUCAUGGCAUUCUCAUUCGUUUUGUUCAUAUAGAAGAACUCGAUCAACAUAGUUUUUUUAAUCAUGGGAUUGUUUACAAUCGUAUUUAUAUCCAUAUUUUUUCUUGAAAGAAACAAGUUGUCCAUCAAGAUGCAGCUGAAGACGAUAAACAUUCGGAGACAUUUCGUUAAUAGGAAAACGAAAGAGACGCCAUACAGCUUCCGGAGGUGAUACCCAUCUAGCAGACCGAUAUUCAUUUACCUCAUCUAUUUCUAUAUUCGCAUCAUUAUUCUGUACAGAAAAUGCAAUUUUGUCAUGUCCUUUACAGAUGUACUUAUAAAGGUACUUCACAACUUUGAUAUCAGAGCAAACUUCAACAUUUAUGUGACAAUUGAAUUUACCGAAUAAAUAUGGGUUGUAUGAGACGACCCAAGAGUUAUCUAAGUCAUGACCUCUUACUUUCACAACUUCACCUGUGUUUCGUCUUCUAUAAAUUGGAUAAGAAUCAUUUCCUUUUGAUGUUUGAUCAGCAAACAUUUUUGGAUAUUUGAACUUGCAAGAACCUAUUUUUUUCCUCAUACAGAAAUUUGUUGGGUCUAAACUACCACAGGGACCGUGCAUCAUAUGCUUAAGAACAAGCUUACGCAAAUCUGAGUCUGCAUUAGCAUCUGGUAAUUCUGCUCUAAUUAUUUCAUCGUAUGCUUCAGUUGUCAACAAUUUAUAGUCAUUCUGUAAUAUAAUAAGAAAAUGAGCAUGAGGUAAACCUCGUUUUUGAAACUCAACGGUGCACAUAAAAGCAACAACUUUUCCAAAGAUAUUUCGUUUUAGAAUAUCCGUCUUCAGCUCUUCUAUCUUGGCCCUAAAUACGCGACUAAUCAAAUCAGGUCUAUUUUGUGCCUCAUCGCUAAGUGCUAAAUGUUCCUCAAUUUCUGGCCAAGUUGGGUUACAUGUCAUCGUUACAAAUAAAUCAGGCUUUCCAAAAUACUGCACUAAUGCAAUAGCGUCCAUAUAACGUUGACGCAUAUCUCUAGGCCCUCCUAUAAAUGAAUUUGGCAGAAAUGUUUGUUUUCCAACAUUAGAAGCAUCUCGUUCACCAAGUCUUAAAAUAUCAAGAAGUCCAUUUAACAUAUCCAUUCUGAACAAAUCUUGAUUGAAGAAAACAAAAUCCAAUCUUUGAGUCUCCAAUUUUAUAUAUUCAUCAACCGAAUACUGUUGAAGUAAUCUACCUGUAUGUAGAAGUUCAUCUUCAUCAUCGUUUCUCAUCUAGAGCUUGUAACUGUAGUAUUCACGAACUGAAACUGUAUCUCUCUUUCGUUUCCCUUUUUGCAUAACUUGAUCUUCCAUAUCAAGAUAUCCGUCAACAGAGGUGAAAGUUUUUAUAUUUGGUAGUUGUUCCAAAUCAGACAAAGCAUAAUUUUUAGGCAUAUUUUCUUCCCCAUGAAACUUUCUAAUGCCACAAUGCCACCCACUUUGGCCAUAUGGAAAUAGUAAAGGAUACUAUAAAGGAUCAUAACAGCUAAAAUAGUAGUUCACUCUUUGCGUUCUAUUGCUAUGAGUAUAAAUUUGAAUGUGCGGUACAUGAAUAGCACCAACAUCAUUCUCAUGAAACCAUAUUGUUGCAACCUCAGUAGUACUGGGCAAGUUAAAUAUUCGUUGAUCCAAACCAGAGUUACAUUUAAGUGCGAUGUGAUAGUUCUGUAAGUUCGAAAUCUCAGAUAAAGCUCGUAAAAAUAUAGAAUAUGGAUUAUCUUUCAGUGUGUCUAUCAAUUCCCUCACUAUCAAUUCAUCUAUUUUAUCAGAGCAACCCAUUCUAUUUGCAAUCUCAUUGUCAUUAUCAUAAAAAUACAACUGCAAAUUUUUUGGCCUUCUCUGUGCAGGAUAUAAAUCAUCUAUAAAGUGAUACAUUUGACCUUGAACUCUGAAUGUGUAUAUACCACGGUUUCUUUUGGCUAGAUCUUUAUCGUAACUGACACCAAGCGAGCUAAAAGCAAACAUAUUAUUAUACGUUCUAAUAUACGUCUGGAAGUGCUUGGAUUUUGCAGAAGAUCCUAGAUAUAAAUUUCUCAGUGCAGGUGGCAUUUUAUGAUAAGUCAACUUAACUGUACCGUUAGCACAACAAAACGAAGGCGGUUCAUACUGAAAUUUUUUUGCCGAGCAGAAUUCACAAUUUGGCACUUUUUUAAGUGGAACAUAGUCAGAGCAUAAUCGGAUAUUAUUAGCAUAUUUCUCUUUUUUUCAUAACCAACAUUAGUCAAUUUUUUCAUAUUCUUUACAUGACCUGCAUACUCCAAAUAGACUUAAGGAGUGGAAAAUAUUAUGAAACACCAAAAAAGUAGAAAUGAUAUGUUAUGUUCAUACUAACCGUCAACCAAAAUCGGCUCAAAGGAUAUAGCACUUGACUCAUUUGAAGUGCCUGAUGUAGAACCUGAUGCAAUACGAUUAUGGAUUAAACACGUGAGCACAACAGAUGUAGAAUUGUCAGUGAUCAAGGUUACAUGAUUUCCUUUUUCAAAGACAUGAAAAGGGCACAACACAUUUUUCACCUUGUGAAGCACAGCGGGUGGCGUACAAACUUCACAUUCAUUGGUUGCUGCAAGAAUUUUUUUUUAACAAACAUGAGAACCAAAUGGGCAUAACUGUUUCACAUGCGCACUCAUAUGUGUGUGUAUAUACAUAUAUAUAUGUGGGAAAAGACAUAUAGUGAAUUUAAUGUUCUAACCUGUUUUUGGCAGAGAACAAGAGGCUCCAGCAGCAAAAUUACUUGACAGAUGCUGGUUCAACAAGAUUGACAUAAGUUUUACUUGCGAGAAGACGAUUAGUUGUUGUCUCUCUUUUUUUUAGACGUCGUUGCAGCAGAAGCGCAUUCUUUUCAGCCAUGGUCAUAUUGCUGUAUACUUCACGUCGUUGGCAUUCUUGUCAUAAGCUUUUGCCGUUAUGCAAGGACGUUUUUUUGUUUGAUGAGGAUCCAUUGUUAAGAGAACUUGAGUUUUACAAAUGUCACUAUUCUAAUCACAGUACAAACCUACAUCAGAAAAAUAAAGAUCAAAAGGUGUAGUAACUUGCCAUAUAUCAAUUUUAAGUCUUAGGCUUUCUCGUUAGGCAACUCGAUUAUGUUAAUGAUAAGACGAACAAACAUAGAGAUUAAAUUAAACCCUGUUAAUAUGAAGGACAAAUAUUUAUAACCUAUCACCAUACAUUGAAUUUUCGCUCACUGUAUAUGUUGCCUAUGUUAUCCCAUUCAACAACGUUUAUCAACUUAUCAGAUUGCACACUAAAUAUAACUGAUUGUACAAUAUGAUGUCAAUCAGUAGGCAUCUCACUCACCGUGACACCUAAUUAACUAAUUUACUACUAAAUAUAACUGAUUGUACAAUAUGAUAUCAAUUUGUAGGCAUCUCACUCACCGUGACAUCUAAGGCACGAAAAAUAUGAAAUUAGAUUUCCAAUGCAAGACUAAACAUUUUUUAGGAUAGUCGAUAAUCAGAUAUACAUUGUUAGUGUUCAGAUCUACAUCACAAAAUUAUAGAGUUAUAGAAUUGAAGGUGUUCACCACUUCGGCUAGGCUUUGCCGUGCUUACGUGGACGAAUGAUUGGAUAGCAAGAUAUAACAACCAAUUAAUGUGUAGUAGUACAUAGAAGAACAAAAAACUGAUGAGACAAUCUCAAGAACAAAAAAGUAAGGAGCUUUGCGUCGUCGUGCUAGCUUGUCAUGCUUCCCGAUCGUAACGGUAUUAUGGAGAAUUCCCAUGUUUUUUUGCUAUAUUCAGCGUAUUGGCCAGAAGGGCCAGCUAUAAUCAUCCGGUGUAAUUAGCUUUCUAUGAUGUACACGUGCCUUUUAUCAUGAUUUCAUGACCAACAGGCCAAGUACAACUUCAAAUUCUUUAGCUUACGUGUUGAUUCAAAAAUCCUAAUGAUACUUUUCAUAAAAAUUAUGUUUGUUUAAAAUCUUUUAAUCAUCAAGGUGGAAUAAAGGAAGCUAAAAUCAAAGGUCAAUACUGCAGUAGAAAGUGUUUAUCUGCAGGUGCCUAAAAUAGCAACGCAAUAAGCAUGUGACACUGUUUAUCUUGUUCAUGUGGAUACAAUUCUAAACUCAUCCCUUUUAUUGUUCUAAUAGCAGUAAGACAAACAGGGGGAGAAGAAUUUAGCAUUGAUUUUAAGACCACAUUCAUCACAUCAUAAAGAUUAUCCCUCAUGGUCUGGGAGGAAUAAAUGAAUUCCAACGAUACUUUAAGCUAAAAUAGAGUCACAACUUCCAGUUCAACGAUAUAAAGCAUGAAAACCUUCUGUAAUUUCCAUUAAAGUAGCCGGAAUCAUUCGGAGCAGAAAAUAAGUAAAGUAUUUCAUUCCCCUAACCAAGUAUCCUAUUAAAUAUACAUACAUACAUACAUACACAGACACAUAUUUAUAUAUGUAUUGUAUAUGUAUAUAUGCUUAGCAGUCUACUUGUAGAAGUUAUCAAUACCAAAUCUUCCAAGUUUAUUGUUAAAGGGAAAAGCUUAUGGUAUAUCACCUACAGUCACACAUGUUCACAUUAAAAAAAAUCAAAAGCAUGGCAAUAACAAUACAUAUAAAAGCAGAAUAUAUACUACUGAAGAAGUCAAACAACAUAUGCAUAACAAAUUCGUCACAACAUAUCCAAUUUUCCAUAGGGAACUAUGCUAAAACCUAUCAAAGAAAUCGACACAAGAGCAAACUUGAAAAAGCAGAACAAACUAUAAAAAGAUCAAAAUAGAAUUCCCAUUUAACCAAAUACUAGACACAAGAACCUCAAAAAUCUAUUACUGCUCGGCACAUCGUUUACCCAAAAUAAAAUCAAAAUUACCCAAAAUAAAAAUCAUCAAACUAUUCUUCAUAGAAAGUGUGAUUCAUUGAAGAUUUUUUGUCAAACACAUAUAAGACCCUUAUUAUCAGAGAAAUACACAAAAGUUGAGUAAAAAGAAUCGAAAUUCAAAUUCCAGGUAAAACAUAACUAACCUGAUAACUAUGUCCACGAAACGCACAAAUUGAGCCGUAAGAGAAAAGAUCGAAAGAGAGAUUUGAGGGAAAUAGGAGAUGAGUUGAUAAAGUAAUCAAAAUGAAGAGAAACAGUGGAAGUGUGGAUCUUCUUCGGAAUUCUGUGGCUUUGGGCUUUUGCAUAGCGGCAGCUGUACCUCUGCUAAAACGUGGCAGAGAUGGAAAAAUUCAGAGAUAGCACGUGUCCAUAAAGCGAAAUGCUAUUCCGAAAAUACCCUUACUACCCCAAAGCUAGCUUCUAUAAUAGUAGUAAAGUAAUAUAAAUAGAAACCUAUACAAGUCAAAAUCACCCAAAAGCACACUGGGCAAAGAUCUUUAUACUUUCGCCAUAAAAAAUCCACAAAAACCGACUUCACUUCAAAUCAAUUAUUUUACUUAUCUAUAGGUCAUUCGUUCUAAUUAGUUCACACAACAAAUCAAUCAAUAUUAUGAGGAAAAGGGAAAGGGAAAAUCCAUGUGGUGUUUGUGGGCAUUAUCACAAAUAUGAGGAAGGCGAAGUUUGUGGGAUCUGUGGACACCGAAUGCCUGCUGUUUCUGAAAAGGGGAUUCAACUCAGUGCGUUCCCUUCUGAGAUCUUGCCUGAGUUUCUAUUUUUGGGUAGCUAUGAUAAUGCUUCUCGUGCUGAGCUUCUCAAAACUUUUGGGAUUUCUCGUAUUCUCAAUGUUAGUAGUAUUCUUUUACUAAUUUGUCCUCAAUAAAUUUGUCAGUAUUGGAUUUAAGUUAUAUAUACUGAUUAUCAAUUGCAUGUUUAUUUGAUUAUCAAUUAAUGCUUAUCAAAAGUGUACCUUAUAAGUAACCUGAUAGUAUAAAAAAUGUUUACAUAGUAUUUAAACUCAUUACUAUUUAUUAUUGUUUUCUGUCUUUUGCUAUUUCUUGGAUUCCUGUGAAUACAGUCAAACCUCCCUAUAACAGCCGCAACCGUGUUUGUUCCGAUGUUUUCUGGAUGUUAUAGUGAAAUGCUGUUAAAGAGGACAUAUAUUAUUCAAGAAAACUUGGUUUAUAUAGUGAAUGACUGUUAUAUAGGGAUGUUGUUAUAGAUCCUUUUGGAAUGAAAUGGAAUUAAAUAGAGUCGGUCAGGAGGAUUCAUCUAGUCGACCCCAAGUCGCCAACUAAUGUGGUUUUGCGCCAUGAUUAUUUGAUUCCUUGAGUUGAGUUGGUUUUGGAGUGUAACGGAACUAAAUAGAGCAUAAGGGAUGAACAAAAUUCAUAUUAAAAGAACCCAAGGCUUAGUCUGUUGAUUGAAUAGUUAGAUUGCUUUGGGAGCAAAAGUUGAAAGAUUUAACAGUGUGUUGGGUGAAGUAGCAAUCAGUAGACUUGUUCUGCUUGGGAAUUUUUUCUCUGAUCAAAAGUGCGUGCCUGUGAUUGAGGGAUUUUGGGAUCUAGUUAGUAUUUCUUGCAUUAGCUUUUUAAGAUAUGAAAUCACUCAACUUGAUGGCUUAACUCCUUAAUACUUUGUCUAAAGAGAGCUGGAUAUAGAGGUGGAUUUAAAGGCAGUGUCUGAAUUAUUACCUAUUAAACUUUGGUUAAACUUUUUAUACACACAUAUAGUCGGCUUAUAAGCAUUGGUUGCAAACUUCACCUGCUUAAUAUGCUGGAUCUACUGGAUUUGCCUCCGAUAGGAUGGGAAUGUACCUGAAUUUCCUGGUCAGAUAGUACCUUUUACUUUUUUGAAUUUAGAAAAGGGAGAGCUUUCGCCAUAUUUUGAUUAACGAAGAAGCAAACAUUACUUAAGCACCCAAGGCCCAAGGGUGUGGCCUAGUAAUCAAUGAAGUGGGUUAAAACCAUGAGAUCUCAUGUUCAAUUCUCAAGAGAGACAAAAAAUACUAGGUGAAUCCCAUCUAUUCAAGCCUAGUGGAUAGAGUUACCUGGUACCUGUUGCUGGUGGGCGGUAGUUGGUAUCCCGUGGAAUUAGUCAAGGCGCACGCCAACUGACCCGAACACCGUGGUUAUCAAAAAAAGAAAAGAAAAAAAGAAGCAAGCAUCACUUACACUUUCCACGAGUCACUCACACAGGAUCUAGUGAUGAGAUGGGAGAGGGGCUAGGAAUUGAGUUUAUCACUUUUGUUUUUCAAUACUUAUCAAUGCGUUUGUUUGAAUCAUGUAAGAAAUCUUCCUUACUGGUUAGUACUGUCUAGAUAAUCAUUCACAAGUUUCAAGCCUAGCUUUGCCUUAGGUGCUUUAAACUUGCAAGAAAUUAGGGUAGUGAUUUUAACCUUAAAGAUGGCCUUCCCCCUUUUCUUUUUUAAUAACCGUGGUGUCUGGGCCAACUUGUGCGCACCUUGACUAAUUCCACGUGAUACCUGCCACUUCCCACCACCAACAGGUUCCAGGUAACUCUUUUUUUUUUAUAACCGUGGUGUCUGGGCUAACUUGGCACACCUCGACUAAUUCCACGGGAUACCCGCCACUUCCCACUACCAACAGGUUCCAGGUAACUCUAUCCACCAAGGCUUGGAUAGAUGGGAAGAAAUCACCUAGUGUUUUUUGCCUCCGCUCGGACCUCAUGGUUCUCAGCCACUUUAUUGACUACUAGGCCAUACCCUUAGGUGCAAGAUGGCUUUUUCUUCUUAUAAGGAUACUUCUUGAAGGAGUAGAGGAUAUGAAUAGUGCAGGUGCGGAAAGAUUGUCUCAUAGGGGGCUAUUAUGUACAAUAAACAUGCUGUCAGCUAGGUGCAGAAGAGAAGCAAAUGGGGUCCUCUCUUACUUGAGCAUUUAGUUUCUUUCCUUCUUAUCUUUGUGAAUUUGCAAAUGUACCCUCAUCUUAAAUGAGGUACUAACUAGCACUGAUUUUUAGUGUCAAUACAAUUUGUACCAAACUACUUCAUAAAAGAUACUGUAACCCUUUGAAGAAAAUGCUAAAAUUGCAGAUAUAACCAGGGAUUAGUCUGUUUAGCAAAGCACAUAUUACAUUUCAAUACCGGCCUUUUCUCUAGGAAAGGAUCUGUGGAUAUGGUUCUUUGUUAUCUUAUAUUGUUUACCACUUAUAUAAAAAGAACAAAACUUUUAGUAUUUGCCACUUAGCCAGAAAAGGAAGGAUGCAAGUGUGAGACGAUGCAGCCAGUGCUAGGUGAGUGUUUGGGAGUUCUCUUUGUAGGUUUAUGCUUGUGAGAAUGCAUGGUGGCUUGAUUGAUCUGUAAUUUAUAGUUCAUAGUUCUUCAAAUCCUCAGUUAUCAGUUAUGAUUGCUAAAAACCCUUUUUAGUGGUCAUCAGUAUUUGAUGACAGGAGGUUUGAGGGAAACAAUGCUGCUUAAUUGGAUUAGAUCUUCUUAAGCUCGUGUCUAAGCAUGUGCAUGAGAAAAGUUCAAUAUUUAAUGUACUUGUAUAAUAAAAUUUUCUAUUGGACCAUCUUCAAAUGCAUUAUUUGUCUGGAGGCAAAAGGUCAUGAGUCAAUAAUGUGCCAAACAUACCAAGGGUUAUAGAAGUGAUCAAGAUAGUAUGAACUUGCUAAAGUUGUCUCUGUAACUUUAGCAGUGAUUGUCACGGCUGUAACAUGUGAGUGUGCUUGUACUUAUGGAGUAUGGUGACAUAAGGUACAAUCUUGUAAGAGUGGAGUUGCUGUUAUCUCUGAAUAGCCAAAACGGGAAGGGAGAUAAAUGCCCUCAUAGGUCAUAACAUAUCAGCUCAGUCUCUAUCGUUGGACCAACCAGUCCUAUUUAAAUAGGUCUACUGUCUUCUCAGAUUUUGUGAGCGCUCUCACUCUAGUAUAGUCUAGUCUCUCUAAUCUACUCUUUUUUGGCUCGCUCCCAGCCCCUAUCAGAACAUCUUGUAUGGAGCUAGCUCUCUACUUUUGUUAUCGCUGCAUCUUCUUGAUGCCAUUCAAUGAAUCUACUUUCUUUAUCACAAAAAAAAAAAAGUCAUAUCAUAUUAGCUUGGAUUUUGUUUUUUGCACCUUCAUUUUAUUCAUUAAAUAAUUUUUAACUUACCAAAAAAGGAGAAAAGAAGAUCCAUUUCAGAAAAAAGAAGAAGAGCAUAAUUCCUUUUUAGGUUGAGUGCUUGACCAGCUGUAGUGUAUCCUGUUUUUAUCUGUCUGCACAUUAUUGAUUGAGAACCUUUUUUCCACUUUUAUUUAUUUAAUUAUAUGGUAACCUAGCACUAAAUCAAACUCCCUACCUAAGAUCCUGGCAAUAACCUUCUCCACUUUGCUCUCUUGGUGACUCGAACUCCCAACAUAUCAUGGUUAGAGGGCCCUUGUUAUUAGUCAUUCUCUCCCAUGUCAUUAUUGAUUGGGGAUCUUGAUUAGCUAUCUUGCAUUACUAAUUAAUGAAGGAAAAGGUGAAGUUUGCAGUUCCAUUUUUUCAUAUAUAUAAUGGAAAUUCCAAGACAACUUGCAUACACCUCGACUGUUCUACCGAGCACUUGCAUCCUCUCACCAUUAAAGAUAUUGGGUAAUUGUAGCCACCAAGGCUUAGUAGAUGCAAAGGAAUCAAUUAGCUUUUUUCCCCCUGUUGGAUCCGAAUCAUGCUCACACCCUUGGGUGCGAAGUCUGCAAUCCCUUAGGCAACUUAGCAGUUGAAUAUUUAUAUCACAUAACAACUAGAACCUGAUGAGGUUUUUUAUAUUCUCAACUGAGUUGAGCUGCGUUAUCUAGGGAUUAGACUGUUAGAUGUGACUGAAACGUCGCAAAAAGGUACAUUGCUAAUUUACUUCCCUACUCAUUCUACUACACAUGGCUGUUUUUCUCUAAUUUAUUUAUAAUGCAAUACAAUGGUGAGAAGAUAUUUACCAUCUAGAACAAACUGAAAUAUUCUAGUUCUCCUCUUGCCAUUCUAAUGUUCACUUGUAAUUGGUCUUAAACUUUAUGAAGUGGAAAACAUGGUUAGGGAUAUGCCUCUUCAACAUGGACGAAAUGUUAGAAAACACAGUUAUGUUGAAUGUUGACAGUACCUGUCUUGGAGAGGGUUUCUUUGCCAAAUUCAUGUCAUUCUUUGGACUAGACUCGAGGAAUAAGGGGGAGGGGUUUCGAAUGUUUUGCUAAAUGAUACUCUACAGUGGGAGAUAGAAGCAGUGCGAAAGGAGACCUUGGAAAUCCUAUGGGCUAUAUAGAUGAUCUGUUUUUUUAAGAACUUGUGAUCUUUCUAUUUACCUGGGGGAGUGACUCUUAUCAUUUUAUUUGUUAUUUUUUAUUUGAUUAGGCAACUCCCCUCAUUCUUUAAAUUUGAUACUAGAAGAUGGAUGAACGGAUGGGUAAACAAAAAGAAGCUAUUGUACUUUAGACUAUCUAUAAGAGGAGACCAUAUGAAAGAAUGUGAGGGAUUUAAGAACGUGCCCCUUCUGUAGUGUUCGUUUGUUCUCGUUCUCAAAAGAGAAAGAAAAGGGUUUGACAGGGCGGGGGGAAUGUAAAGGAUUCUUUGGCUCGUGACAGAGACACAACACAUAUACACAUGCAGAGAGAUUUUUCCCAGUGGUGGAGGGCAGGGUUGGGAAGAGGGGAUGUUUGUGUUUCCAUUUUUCCUAUGUCCCAUUUUCUUGUAAAAACACGAAUAUGACAAGUGUUUAGAUUUUAGCAAUGUCACAUAUUUUAACAUUUUCCCAAGAUAAAUGAUGCUGGUCUCACUAAGGACAUUUCUUUCUUUCUAUAUUUAUUUGUAUGGUAUUUUGCUCCUUUGUAUGGACUCGGAUAAAUGAACUAGAUAUAUGUACUUUUGGAUCCAUAAAACCAUAGUGGAAAGUAUAUACUUUUCUCUUGAAUCGUAUUAGAUGGUUCUUUUUUCUUUCUGGUACUUGAGAAAUCAUUCAUUGACAUGACUUCCAUGUGCUCUUUGUGGCCCAUGUUCUUGAUUGUUGACACUGAGUAUUCACUUUUUUAUUUUUUCUAUGUCAGACAGUACCUGCUUGUCAGAAUCUUUAUAAAAAUUCGUUCACUUAUCACUGCCUUCAAGAUGACCAAAAUUUGCCAUUUGAUGAUGCUAUCCAAUUCUUAGGUGAGUAUCAUUCUCUUUACUUUGUUGAACCUAGCACAUCUAAUCUUGAUUUGGAGAUCUAUGAGACAUUUCUUUUGUUUUUUUAAAUGAAAAGGUAGGGAUCUCUAUGAGACCCUUCUCUUUAAAGUAGUUCUUUAGUUUGGUCAAUUAUUUGCUGUUGCAAUCCUCUUAAGGUGCCUCGUUCAUUGGAAAUUAUGGAGUGAGGACUGAUUUGUGUGAACAAACUAAUAAUGCAUACUAUUAUUUCUCAAUCCCAAGUAAGUUGGGGUCCGUCAUAUGAAUCAUUAUUGUCUACGUCAUUCCAAUUAAGCGUGUCUUUGUUCAAUAUUAUAAAUUAUUAGUUUCUCUAGCUGUGUAGCACUAGAAGCAUUCUACAUUUUUUCCUGGCACAUAAAUAGCGGACAAGACUAUAAGAAUCUUAGCAAACAGUGGACCUAAAGUAAUGUACUGAGAUGAAUAAAAUCUUAUCCCAAAUAAUUGGUAGUCUAUAUAGAUCUUUUCCUUUCAUUUGUCCCUAUCUUUGUUAGCUCUGCAUGAAUCCAAGAUGUUGUAGGUCUAUAGAUAAUUUCAUUCCAUGUGAUUUUAGGCCUACCUCGUUCCCUUUUAACUCCUUCAAUCUCCAAGAUUUUACUUAUAUGGACUGGUGCCAGUGCAUCUGCAGGUCGACAUAGGACAUGACCUGAUCAUCUUAAGGGACAUUCUCUCAUUUAAUCCAUCACUGGUGCUACUUGCAUUUUAUGCUGAAUGUGAUUAUUUAUAAUCUUGUAUGAUCACACAUCCAUUUUAACGUUUGUGUGUCUACGACACUUAUCUUGUGGAUACGUUAGGCUUUGAAGCUUAUUAUUUAUACAAACUAAUAAUCUAUCACCAAACAAUUUUGUUGAUAUUGCAAAAUGUGAUAUUUAGGCUGUAGUGUUGUUUAGUGGAGUAUUCUUCACCAUAUGGAUAGAAAUAAUAUAACAAUUAUGGUAUAAAUAAUUCCGACUAAUCCCAAAAUCAAAAGUUCAACCAAACACAGGAUAAAAUAAUUCCGUAUUUUAUCCCGGAAUUAUUAUCCCUUACUCACAAACCAAGCCACCCCGCGAAGGUAUGGCCUCUUGCUUUCCAUGAGAUUGUGAACCAGCUUCUGAGUUCACUUCCUCAUCUACAGCCUUCUUCUUUGUGUUUUACUGCUUUGCCUCUUUAGUUCAUCUUCCUCUGCCUCUGAAGGUACAAAAAACCAUAGCGAGUUAAACUGCUAUAUAAAUGUAUUAGAUUGAGUUUUGUUCUCUGCUGGACAUUGAAUGGUAGCUUUCUCUAGUUGAAUGUUGAGCCAUGUAAUGUUUGAUUAUCACAGAUUUGUUUACAACAGGUUCACCUGGAAAGGCGAUCUUGUUUUUCUUUUUUUUUUUAAAAACAUUCUAGUAAGGUUCUUUAUACAUGUAUUUCUACAUGACAGCAUUUAAUAUGUUUCAACUGAAGCCUCCGUUUACAUGUCUCUAGCUGUUGCAUCAUUACUAACGAAGACACCGUCGGCCUUGACUGCUACAGUAGAUAUCAUGCUUAUGACCUCAAGCUUGUUCUCCAGUGUUCUUUCAUGUUUUGUUGGAGGCAUUGUGCUGGCUAAUCUGAGAAUAUUUCUUUUUGCGCAGAACAAUGUGAAAAGGAUAGGGCUCGUGUUCUUGUGCACUGUAUGUUAGGCAAAAACAGGUAAGGAGAUUGAUUAUCAAUUUUUCACAUAAGCCUCAUUACAUUUUGCCUUUUUCCUUUCGUGUUUGUGCUUUAUCCUUUUCUCCUCCAUUCUCUUGUUCUCCCUUUGUGGGUUUUCCACAAUUAAGGUAUAGAUGUUAAACUUGUGCUCUUUUUUCAGCUUCCUCUCAGAAACUUAAACAACCUUUAGUGCUAAAACAUAAUAUUUCUCACUGAGAAUGAUAAAUGCAGUAAACUGUUACAGCAGUUUUCUGGAGUGGCUUUCAAUUGAUUGUUCAUGCAGAAACCACCAUUUUGGUUUGUGCAAGGUUUUUAUAUAUAGAACUCAUAGACUUGUGCUUUUUUGAUAGGUCGGCAGCCAUUGUAAUCGCUUAUUUGAUGAAAAGUAGAAGAUGGAACCUUGCACAGAGCCUUCAGUGGGUGAAAGAGCGAAGACCUUCUGUUGACCUAACUCAAGGUCUACAUACUCUGCUAUCUUUAUAAGGAUUUCUUCUUUUACAUACAGUUGAAAAGCGAAAAUAUUAAGGUACUAACUCUACACAUUCUGAGAAAUGCAAAUCUGUGAGAUGACAAACCCUGGUAUCCAUAUAGUUAAAGAGGUCAGAUAGUUGAUCUUGAUUUUGGAUGCUAUUUUCAUACUCGAAUGGUAAAUUGAAAAAAUAGGGAUGGGAAAAACUGCACAACAUUAGUGCAUCGUUGGUGAUAUAAACUGUGACCAAGCUAAUAGAGUUAAGUCAUUAUGUAGUGACUUCUAGAAUUAGAAGAUCAGAGCCCGUUAACCUUUGUGUUGGUGAGUUGCCAGCUCACAAAACCUUUCUUUCUUCACUUGGGCUGUGGCUGCUCUUUGAAACUGAUAUUAGUUAAAAAGUUUACUUCUAGCUUUGCGUCUCUCUGACGCCUUCUUUUCUUUACCUCUACAGAGGUCUACCAACAGCUACAGGAGUACGAGCAAAAGAUCUUGGCGUCACUUGAGAACCAGCCCUGCCCCGUCAUGCCAGCCUUCCCUUCUCCUGUGACAUCCUUCAACUUUGGCUUCCCAAAGCCUAGCGACCCCAUUCCUCCUCCAGCCUUCAAUAAUUCUAGUGCUCCUUCACUUUUUGCCCGUCCUGCUUUUGACAUUCCUCCACAGGAAUUCACUUUUGGUGCUGCUCAUAAUCAGGGCAACGUCUCACAAAGCCCUUUGAGUGCCAAUCAAAAUCCAAAUGGUAGCGACAUUUCCAUGGAUGGUUCGUGAUACUGCAUGCCUUUUGCCUUGUGAAAAGUCCUCAACUUCAACGAGUAUUCAGAAAGUUAUGCCAGUUGCUGACGCCAAGAGACCAAGUUUUUCAGAAGUUUGGAUGUAAAGUGGGAGUAAGUGCUGUAUACAUCACUAGAUGUAGAGUUGGACAUCCCUGUAACUUAAUGUGCCAUCAAAUGGACUCGUUAUUCAGGAAAUCCAAGUAACUCUUGCCUAAUCUGUACGAGAUAUUAAAGCCUGUUUUCGUGUGGGUCCUUACUAAUAGAUUUUGUGUAGAAAAUGACUGUUAAAUUACGGCAAAAGUAGGUGAAAUUUGUUAACAUUUUCCUUUUAUACCAAGUCUCCUGCUGAGAAGCUGCUUCUCAUGUUUGUGUUAAGUAUAGUUAAGACUCCAAAACCUACUCAACCAGAACAUUGUGAACGGUAAUAAUCAUUGAUGGUGGAUGUCCAAAAACCAAUCUUUCCAGAGUGAAAACAAGCCCCAGUAUAAAUACAUCAAAAGACUUUGGCUCCCAACUUUUGCUCUUGUAUUGCAAAAAGGAAGAAAUUGAAGAUAUUCCCUUUCUCAGAUUCCAAGAUGACCCACAACAAAGAUUUUGGAAAACAUUUUCUCUAGGUUCCUGUUAAAAAGAAUAGGGUAUAAUGCAAUCUAUUUUGACAAUCACACAGUUGGCAAAUACUAGCAUAAGUAAAUUGAUCCUACAACAAAUUGCUUCAUUACCAUUCAAUUUGGUGUAUGCAUAGAAUGAUUAUCAAAAGAAAAAGCAGUAGUCAGGAGAACCACGCGUAUGUCAUUCAUCCAGAAAAAAGCAAAAGAACUUCUAAAGUUUCAUAGAGCAUGUUUGGCCAACCAUUUUGUGAGGCCAAAAGUAUUUUCCCCAAAAAAGUACUUUUCGAAAAAUUUGAGCGGUUUGGCCAAUACAAAGAAGUACUUUUGGCCAGUAGCAGAAGCAGUUUUUCUGCUUUUGAGAAGAAGCAGAAAAUUCUAGUUUCUUCCAAGAAGCAGAAGCAGAAGUAGAAAAUUAAUUUAUUCAAGACAAAACCAUUCUCACCAUAAAUUUGAUUUUCCAAAUUAUCCCUUACAAAUUUAAGUUUUUUCUUUUCAUUUUUGUUUCUAGUUUUUAUCUUUCUAUUAAAAUUAAAGAUAUCAUAUAUAUAUGAAUCCUAUUGUAACUUUCCAAAAUUUUAUUAACUUUUCUUGUUUUUGAUUUUUUUGUGUGUGUAAUGUCUUAUAACUUUCUAAAUUAUCUUCUUCCUUUUGCACACUAAAGCAAAUUAUCUGCAUCCUUCUUUGGAUUAUCAAUUCUCUUCCUACAAAUAAUCAUUUAUAAUUUCUUCUAUUAUAUGCUAUUAGUUCCCGAAUCUUUAAAAUAGUUAUCAAAUCUAAUUUGUGAAAAUGACUUACAAAUAGGUAAUAAAUUUAAAAUUGCAUUGCAUAAUCUAUCUAUAAUCCACAUUAAGUCAAGUGGCAGCCUCACAAUAGGCCACCUGGCAUUUUAGGACAAAGUUUAGUAAGGUUAUGUAAUAAUUAGUUUUUUUUAUAAUUUGAAUUUUUUUUAAAAAAAUAAACUAUACAUUAUAUGUUGUUACUAAUUAGUUACUCUUUUUGAAUUAGAAUUUAAACAAACUUAACUAUUUCUUUUACGAUUUUUUUAAUAUAUUUAAAAUUAUUUCUAUUUUACGCUCAAUGCCAUUUUUCAAGUUUGACACUCAGAAUCAUCUAAUUACAACUACCAUGGCUAUACAUAAUUUCAUCCGACGACAUUCUUCUACCGAUACAAAAUUCAAUUAUUAUGCUAAUGAAGACAUUACUGCAGAGAUUGAUGAAAGAGAUGAGCCUUCUCAUAUUCCUUUAGAAAUGCGAGGUAAGUCUUCUACUAAUAUGGAGGCGUUGUGUGAUGGAAGUAGAGAUGAAAUUGUUGAGAAAUAUUAUCAUGUGUGAGUGACUUUACUUAUUAUUUCAUGUUGGAUUAUUAAUAUAUAGUAAUUUGUGGAUAGACUUCUAAUUUAUACUGAAUGAUGUUAUUUUAAUUAUUCAAAUCAUCAUAUAACAAUAAGUAAUUAUACUAGAUCAUAUCAUAUGAUUUGGUAUAGCAAUACAUGUAAAAUUGAUUUAAAUCUUUAAUAUGUUUGUUUACUUUAUGUUUUAUAUUUUAAUCAAAUCAAAUAAAAAAUAAUAAAAGUCUCUUACGAGAAAUAUUUAAGUUCAUUUUUCUAUUUAAAAGAAUUAUAAGAUCUUAAUACUAUCCUUUUUGGUAAUAUGACGCUCAAAAGCACUUUUAAAAAGAUUGACCAAAUAUAAUUUAUUUACCAAAUGUUGCAAAAAGUACUUUUUAAAUGAACUGGUCAAACACAAACAAUUUUUUUCAAAAGUACUUUUCAAAAUACGACAAAUUUUGGCAGCUUAGCCAAAGGAGCUCUUGAUGAAACAAGCAAGUGGGGUAAUACAGUAAUUGGUGUGUGACCACACAUGUUUUUCCUCUUUAUCAUGAUCAAUCUUUCCCUUAGAAUAAUUUGACUUUCAUUUUUAUUUUUGGUAUUUGCAAACAAAUGUAUUCGAAAAAUAUUUAGAUCUAAUUAAUUAUGUAGUUGCUUGGAAGGGAAGCCUUGAAGCAAUGGUAAAGUUAACUCGGUGUGACUUAGGUCACGAAUUCGAGCUGUGGAAUCAACUACUGAUGCUUGCAUUAGGGUAGACUGCCUACAUCACACCCUUUGGGAUGCGACCUUUCCUUGGACCUGCGUGAGCGCGGAAUACUUUGUGCACCGAACUACCCUUAUUAUAUAGUUGCUCAUUGUAUGUCCUUAGUACUUUGAUACAUGAUUUUUCAGCCAAGUGUAUACCUAAGUUUGCACCCAAUUAAUUUUCAUGUGUUACAGAUUUUGUAUGGUUAGGUAUUUAUACUAUAUUAUAGCUAUAGUUAGAGUUCUAGGAUUAGUUAGUAUUGUCAUUAUCUUGGUCUAUGAUGUGAUGAUAAUUACUCAAUAUGUUAGCUUCGUUGGUUUAAUUAUCUAGUAUUUGAAAUUUAUUGGUCAGAUUAAUCAUGAAUCGCGCUGGAUAGACUCGCUAAAGAAGGCAAUUAGACCCUCCCUACUGUAAAGCUUUUUAUAAAUUUCAAAAGUUGAUUUAGUCUUGGAUUGGAUAUCUACAAUGAGCAGCUGGUUAAUUAGUUUAAUUUUUCAUAUCAUAAUCAAAGAUUCACAUGAAUGCUCAGCACGUUCACUAUAACAUGUUCCUUUGAUCUCUUUUUCCUUUCUUCUUGCUCUAUUUUUUAAAAUUAUUUCUCCCAAUCUUUUGGCAUAAUCUCAUAAUCUACGUGUAUGGCUAUGAGUAUUAUUGUUAAUGGCUUUUAAUGUUGGUCACGUUUGUACACUAUAAUGUUAGGCUGAGAGAAAUUCAAGGAGGCUCUCUUAUUCUUCACAACACUAGUAAACUGCAUUAACCAAAUCGAUUCAGAGAGAAAAAAAAGAAAGAAUUUUCCAACUACUUUUUCAACUAACUUCUCUCUCUCUCUCACUCACUUUCAUCAAUCUUGAAUCCAAAAAACAGUUUUUUUUGCAAUAUUUCUGAUCAAGAUCCCAAAAAAGUUGACAAAUCAAGAACCCCAUCCUCUUCAAAACAAAAGAAUCAUUCUUUUUUUCUUGUGUUUUUUCACUUGGUGAUCAUAAUUGCCUUUUUGUAAAUGCCAAUGUGAUCAUAUUGGUUAUACACAUUCUGUAUUUGAAUCAAGAAAUAUGCCAAGCAAGUUAAAGAAGGCAAUUGGUGCAGUAAAAGAUCAAACAAGCAUUAGCCUUGCAAAAGUUGCAAGCAAUACUUCCUCAACCCUUGAAGUUGCUGUGCUGAAAGCCACAAGUCAUGAUGAUGUGCCUGUCGAUGAUCGAUAUGUUCAAGAAGUCAUCAAACUUGUCUCCUCCAACAAAGCCUAUGCAGCUGCCUGUGCUCGUGCCAUUGGCAAACGUAUUGGUAGAACGAGGAAUUGGAUCGUUGCCCUUAAAUCGUUGAUGCUUGUCUUAAGAAUUUUUCAAGAUGGUGAUCCUUAUUUCCCUCGAGAAGUUCUUCAUGCCAUGAAACGAGGGGCCAAGAUUCUUAACCUCUCUAGCUUCCGCGAUGAUUCUAAUUCUAGUCCUUGGGAUUUCACAGCCUUUGUUCGUACGUUUGCUCUGUAUCUUGAUGAGCGUUUGGAUUGUUUCCUUACUGGUAAGCUUCAAAGAAGGUAUAAUAAUCGCGAAAGAGAAAAUUCUAGCAGUCAUUAUAGGACUAGUAUGAGUAGUCGAAGAAGGGGUGAUGAGCCUGUCCGUGACAUGAAACCAGUAAUGCUGCUCGACAAGAUUUCAUAUUGGCAACGAUUGAUUGAGAGAGCAAUCGCUACAAGGCCAACAGGGGCAGCUAAGACGAAUCGUCUUGUCCAAAUUGCUUUAUAUGCUGUUGUUCAAGAAAGUUUUGAUCUUUACAAAGAUAUAUCAGAUGGGCUUGCUCUUGUUCUUGAUAGCUUUUUCCAUUUACCAUAUCAAUCAUGUGUAAAUGCAUUCCAAACUUGUGUCAAAGCAGCUAAACAAUUUGAAGAAAUUAGUGCAUUUUAUUCUGUUUGUAAAAGUAUUGGAGUUGGUAGGACAUCAGAAUAUCCAAGUGUACAAACUAUAUCAGAGGAAUUGAUUGAAACAUUACAAGAAUUUCUCAAAGAUCAAUCUUCAUUUCCAGCACAUACACAAACCAAAUCACAUUUGCUUCUUCCGGGACCUGGUGGAUCAACGAGGACCACGAGCAGCAAACGUGAUAGUUAUGGCGGACAAUCUGAAUUUUCUUUGGCCACAGAAACGACAGAGCCAUACUCGGAGAGGAGUAUUAAUUCUGGUGUUGAUUCGCGUUGCACAUCAUUAGAAGAUCUAAUAAGUGCAACCGAAACAUGGAAAAGUCCAGCUAAUAUUUCGAUUGAUUUGGAGGCUUAUUCGGAUAUUCAAUUUGAGAAGCAGUUGCAUGAGAAGGACGAUACGGGGUCUACUCAUUCAUUGCCUGUGUCAAAUUCAAUGGUUGAUCUUGUAUCCUUACCAGAUUGGCAAGGAUAUGAUGAAGACGACGACAGAAAACAAGAAGAGGAUAAACAACAAAAGCAGGAGGCAGUGAAAGAUCAAGAAAUCAACAAGGAAAAAGCUGCACAUCAACAAGAGCAUAAACAGAAUCCAUCCUUAGAUUCUAAUUCAGCAAAAGAAUGGGAGCUCGUGUUAACUGAGGCGAUACCAUCAACAUCUUUCAACGCGUUCCCUGAACAACCAAAACCAGAAAAUUUGCCUAGAAAUGAAACAAGAGGGUCGUCUAAUGAGGCGAUGAUAACACCAUCAGCAUCUUUCAACGCGUUCCCUGAACAGCCAACACCGGGACAUUUGCCAAGAAAUGAAGCAACAGGGUUGUCUACAGAGGCGAUAAUAACACCAUCAGCAUCUUUCAACGCGUUUCCAGAACAAGGACAAGAAAUCGCGCCAACAAAUGAAGCAAUAGGGACAUCAUCAGAAGAGGUUUCUUCAAGCAAUGGCUGGGAAUUGGUGUUAUUCGAAAAUAUUCCACAAGCACAAUCAACACAAUCCAUGCCUAGUACAACGAACAACGUUAACAGCUUCAACUUCGCCACUCUGGACGAAUUAUAUAAUCAGAAUCCAGUGCCAAUGUUUCCAAAUGGUGGCCAAAAUUCACAAUAUACAGCUAGUACAAACAACUUUUGGAAUGAUCAGAAUCUGUCCUUGAACUUGCCACCUCCAAAUAAUGGACUGAAUGCAUAUACUCAUCAAAAUCCAGUUUUGCCAGCACCUCAACACUACAAUCCAUUUUUACAAGAUACAUCAAUGGACUUGGCCAUGGUAGCGGUUACAACUGCUACCACCACUGCCACUGCCACGUACCCGACUAUGGCCACCAAUGCUCCCUUUACAUUUCCGACGUCUACUGACAUGUUUUCAUCAUCAACUCCAGCACCUACAUUCCAAGCAACUCCAACUUUUAGUGCUCAGAAUUCAACUUCAGGGGCAGUGCAGAGUGGUGUGGAGGAUCCAUUCGCGACGUUUUCAAGUAGUGAUCAGAUGUUUAAUGGCAUUCCGAAUGAGCAGAAUUUGUUGCAUGAACAACAGUUAUGGUUGCAGAACCAAAACAAGAUCAUAGCAAAACAUAUGGCUUGAUUUAUAUACGUGUGUAAAAUGAAUAAAUCUUGUUGUUAUGUUUACGUUUUUGCUUUUGUUAAAUCUCCUUCUUUCCAUUAUGACUUACAUUAAUUGCAGCAUUUUUCUAUUCCGUGCAUCUAGUUCGUAAAAAAUGGCUCAAAAUUCAAUCAAUUAAAAUUUAAUCCUCGAAACAUUUUCUAUAUUAAGGGUGUGUUUGGUGUGGAGUUCAGAUUUUUUUUUUCAAUUUUUCAUGUUUGGUUAGUUUCUUUAAGAAAACAAGUUCUUUAAAAAUCAGGAAAUUAACUUUCUUGGUGGGAAUAGAAAAAAUAAGUUUCAUGAGUGGCAUUUCACGAUGGUUGUCUCCUCCCCAACCCCAAACACCCCCAAAAAAGUUUCCACUAUUUUUGAUCUAUUCCUGGUACCUAUUGCAAUUCUUGGUGUUGGUGUUUUUAGAAUUUGAUAAGACUUCCUGUGUUUUUGGUUAAAUCUUGUUUUUCUUACAAUUCCUGUUGAACAACUAAAUUUAUUAAAUAUUUGAAUAUUAAAUAAUGAAGAAUAAGUAUUCACUUUUGGUAAAUUACAACAACAAUAAUAACAAAUCCAAUAUAAUAUCACAAGUGAGGUAUGGGAGGAUUGCACGCAUAACUUACCUCUACGGCAGGCCAUCAGCUCAACGAAUAAUGAAAUAAAGUAACAAAUAAUAGCAACAUGUUAAUAGGGUAACAGAAGCGAAUGACAAAACAUGUAAUAAAAAAGUAGGAUAAGAAAAUACAAUAAUAGUACUAGUACUACUCGUAAGCCUAGGAGAAACUCAUAACUACCUGUCAACCUUCAACCCUAAUUCUUGACCUACACGUCUUUAUAUCGAGGGUCAUGUUCUUGAUAAGCUAAAGCAAUGACAUGUACUGCCUAAUUACUUCUCCAUAGUACUUCUUUGACUUACCUCUACCCUUCCUCAGACCUGUCAUGAUUAACCUUUCACACCUCCUAACUGGGACAUUUAUGUCUCUCCUCUUCACAUGUCCGAACUACCUCUACCUUGAUUCCCGCAACUUAUUCUCUACAGAGGCUACUCUUCAUUCCAUAGAGGCCACAACUUUUGGCAAAUUUAAAGGACCAAAACUCCUUAGGAAUAUAUUUAAGGGACUAUUUUGGACAUAACCAUAAGAGCCUAUAUUUGUAUUUUUUCAUAAAAUUUACAUUAAGCUUUAUGAUUAGUAUUUUGAUCCCAUUUUAAAUUUGAUGUAUUGAGUUGGAUCAGUUUUAAUGCUUCACCUCAUUUUAAGUGAUACCAUUGUGAGCAGUUCCUUGCAUUCACACCAAUUAGAUGGUCAAAUACAUUGAUAAUUUUUUAAAACUUGACUUCAUUUUUCUUUUAAAAAUCUUAAUCUUUAAUUCUUGGCCUAUUAAACCCUUCAACUUCUUGUUCUUCUUAAAACAAACCCUUCAACUUCUUGUCUAUUAAAUCAUCAUAGAGUCAGAACUAUCAAUUAGAAAAAUUUUACUUUUUUCCUUCGUUAGAAAUAGAGGAGGAGAAGCGAACAAUGUCGGGAGCAGAAGAAGACAAGAAGCCCGCCGGCGAUCAGGCUGGUCACAUCAAUCUCAAAGUCAAAGGCCAGGUCUUCUUCUUUUCUUUCUUAUCUCCUCUUUCCCUACUAGUCCCUCGUAUGAGUUCAUUAGGGUUUGGUUUGGUACCUUAUUUGAACUUUUGAAGUGUAUUUGAACAUUAAAUUAGUUUUAUGAGCCUGAAUAGAGCAUAAUAGAUGUCGAUUUUGGGAUUGAUUUAGUAAUUGAUUGAUGGAUUAGGCCUUCUUUAGGGUUGCAUGGAAUUUUUACUGUCAUUCUGUGAUUUGUGUGUCUACAUUGUUGAAAAUCUUUACAGCUUGUUUGGAUGGUUGUUAUGUAUCAUCUCAUGAUGUAUCGUAUAGUAUAGUAUAGUAUUUUAUUGUAUUGUAUCGUUUUGAUGUAUACAAUGUUUGGAUAGAUUGUAAUGUUUGUUGUCUUUUCAUGAUGUCAUGCACCAACAAUACGAAAAAUAAACUUACAAUAUUAUAAAGAAAAAGGUACGAGGUAGAAUAAUUAUAUAAAAAGGUAGGGCAAAAGAUAAGAUAGGAUUAUUUAAUAAUAAGGAAGGGCAAGAUGGGAGGAAAAAAUAUGGAAACAACGCGACCAUACCAAAUCAGUCGUUCCAUGAAGUGACACUUUUUGUCGUUACGUAAGGAUGGAUUAUAAGAUACGAUACAUUAAAAUUUAAGUAACAAUCAAAAUAAAUAUUGUAUUUAAAGUUACAAUAUGAUACAAUACAACAUGUCACAACCAUCCAAACAAGCCGUUAGUCACUCAUUUGAGCAACAUCAUCUGAACUUAAAUCGACUAGAAAAUAGAAACUUAACCCCAGUCCCCACCUCAACUCGAAAAGAAGAAAAGAAAGAAAAAACUCUAUUGUUGUAUACUAAUUCCUUAUCUGCGCUAGGGCUUUGGUCUAGUGGUAAGGGAGCAACACAUGAUUGGUGGAUUAGGCGCACAUCAUGGGUUCGAAUGUCGCCACAGACAAAAGCCUGGUAUUUAAGUGGAGAAGAGUAAAGGGGUGGGUCCAAUAUUCACCGAGUUUUGAACCAUAUGCUAUUGGCCCUCCGUAUUUCUCACUUAUCAAAAAAAAAUUGUAUACACACACACUAAUUACUUGUCUUGGAAUAUCAAGGUUUAAACCGAAAUGAUCCUAAUGCUUAAUGAGUUUCUGUUAAUAAAUUUGAAUGUUCAUAUUUAAUAUAUGCUGGAUCAGAGAAGUUCUUGAACUCAGAGAAAGCCCCCUAUAUUUGUCACGUUGGAUGGAGGCAUAUUAUCUUUUGUCGAGGUUUAUUUACUGGUACUUUUUUCAUCAAUGCUAAACCAAGAUAUCUUGGUCUACCUUAACAUUAAUGUGAUGCAAAAGAUUUGUAAUGUUAUAUUCAUUGUCAUUAAGAAAAUUUAACUGUUCAUGUUUAGUAUAUUGUCUCAGAAAAGUAUUUAAACUCAGAGGAAGCCCCUGUAUAUUUCAUGUUUGAUUGAGCUGUAUUACCUUUUCUGAAGAUUUAAAGACCAGUCUUUUCAUCAACGCAAAAGAUAAUGCAAUUGAUGGCUUAGUCAUCAAUGUCAGACUUUUGUAAUGCUUGUGUUAACUAUCUUGUAUUAGUUGAAGUUGUUGUCAAGUCAUCUGAUCUGCUGCUUGACUCAGAAAGUCAACCUGGAAUUGGGAAUUUGUUUAUGUGGAUUUGGUGAUCGGGGGUUGUAUUACCAAGAGUAAUUGCGCGUGGCAGUUUUUCUUCACGAUAAGACAAUAACCUGGGCUGUACCUACAUCCUUCUUGAGCUUUGGAAUUUACUUUCUGUUGCUACUCCAUAAAAUCUUUCAUUUUGGCUAUACAAACACGAAAUUUUAUGCAGUUGUGUGUUGAUUCCGAUACUUGAUGGAACAAUUAGUAGUAAACCUUUUCUUUCUUUGUCUUAUCUUUUGUUUUUGUCCAUUUCUUGCUGUUAUUAGGAUGAUGUGCUUCUCAUUAAGAUUUUCUGGAAAAAUGGGCUUUUGCAUGUUUUAAUGAAAAGGGGGAAAAUGGUGAGAAAAUUAUAUAUUUGGCUUUUUUUGGUUUCAGGAUGGGAAUGAAGUCUUCUUUAGGAUCAAAAGAAGCACCCAGCUGAAGAAGCUGAUGAAUGCUUAUUGCGACCGACAGUCAGUGGAUUUCAAUUCAAUUGCUUUCUUGUUUGAUGGUCGUCGUCUCAGAGCAGAACAGUCACCAGAUGAGGUCUCCCCCCCCCCCCCCCAAAGCCCCCAAAUGUGCACACACAAAUACAAACAAGAGAAUACCAAAGAAAGACCCAUGUAUUUGCUUGAUAUUGUGCUUAACAAUUGUGUUAAUUAUCUUGUUUCCUUAUAAUUUUCUCCCUUGUGCAGCUGGAGAUGGAAGAUGGUGACGAAAUUGAUGCAAUGUUGCAUCAAACUGGAGGCACAAUUCUUUGAGUCUUCUUUGCUGUUUCUGUGGACCUAGGCUUUAUGUGUGUGUCUAGGUGGUAUGGACUUGGUGAAGUGUAGGUUGUUCAACUUUAGGGCGUGUAGAGUGUAAUGAACGUGAUCAUGUUUGCUUUAUGUUGACCAGCUCGGCUGAACUUUAAUCGCCACUGCAACUUGAUAUGAAAGUCAUUACUUCCUUAACCGUUUAGUUUUCUAAAGAUGACAUGAAUCCAAAGUCUUGGUUUGUUUUAAAUAACCCCCUCCCUCAACUCCCACGAAAACUCUGUACCUUGGUGACAAGAAGAAGCUCCAGUGUGGCCUGCUUUUCACCUUAAUCACAGUUUGGUCCGUUAUCUCAGGCUCUUUAUCUUGAUGGUAGUUUAUUUUAGAACUAGCACCAAGGUGUUGGUCAAGUGGUAAAAGUGCAGUACGUAAUGUGUGGGUUAGGUGCACGUCACAGGUUUGAACUCUGCGCAGACAAAAAUCCAGGUAUUUAAGUGGAGAAGAGUAGAGAACAUGCCCUUUAUUCAUCUAGUUAUAAAUUGUGCGCCACUGGCCCUUGGCGAUAUCUCCGUGAGCCACUUGUCAUCGGAGAUUUCUCCAUUUUUCGGACAAUAAGUUUGUUUUAGAACUUCUAUUCAGGCUCUUUGAUUCUUUGAAACUACAGUGGUU
RNAcentral lists this long non-coding RNA (33704 nucleotides) under Nicotiana tabacum (common tobacco). Its description in RNAcentral is "long non-coding RNA (NTAB_LNC010962)". Lineage: Eukaryota; Viridiplantae; Streptophyta; Magnoliopsida; Solanales; Solanaceae. The record is from RNAcentral.